GACGAACGCUGGCGGCGUGCUUAACACAUGCAAGUCGUACGGUAAGGCCCUUUCGGGGGUACACGAGUGGCGAACGGGUGAGUAACACGUGAGUAACCUGCCCACAACUUUGGGAUAACGCUAGGAAACUGGUGCUAAUACUGGAUAUGUGCUCCUGCUGCAUGGUGGGGGUUGGAAAGCUCCGGCGGUUGUGGAUGGACUCGCGGCCUAUCAGCUUGUUGGUGGGGUGUGGCCUACCAAGGCGGCGACGGGUAGCCGGCCUGAGAGGGUGACCGGCCACAUUGGGACUGAGAUACGGCCCAGACUCCUACGGGAGGCAGCAGUGGGGAAUAUUGCACAAUGGGCGCAAGCCUGAUGCAGCAACGCCGCGUGCGGGAUGACGGCCUUCGGGUUGUAAACCGCUUUCAGCAGGGACGAAGCUUUUUGUGACGGUACCUGCAGAAGAAGCACCGGCUAACUACGUG
This 464-nucleotide ribosomal RNA is filed under the name uncultured bacterium. Its description in RNAcentral is "partial 16S ribosomal RNA". It matches the Rfam family "Bacterial small subunit ribosomal RNA", at positions 28 to 507 of the family's 1533-position model. The record is from RNAcentral.